UACGAAGGGGGCUAGCGUUGCUCGGAAUCACUGGGCGUAAAGCGCACGUAGGCGGAUCUUUAAGUCAGAGGUGAAAUCCUGGAGCUCAACUCCAGAACUGCCUUUGAUACUGAAAAUCUUGAGUAUGGGAGAGGUGAGUGGAACUGCGAGUGUAGAGGUGAAAUUCGUAGAUAUUCGCAAGAACACCAGUGGCGAAGGCGGCUGACUGGUCCGGUUCUGACGCUGAGGCGCGAAAGCGUGGGGAGCAAACAGG
RNAcentral lists this ribosomal RNA (253 nucleotides) under uncultured bacterium. RNAcentral's name for it is "partial 16S ribosomal RNA". It matches the Rfam family "Bacterial small subunit ribosomal RNA", at positions 524 to 776 of the family's 1533-position model. The record is from RNAcentral.